CCUGGUGGCUAGAGCGGAGUGGUCCCACCCGUUCCCAUUCCGAACACGGCAGUGAAACGCUCCAGCGCCCACGAUACUGGGGUCACCAAGCCCCGGGAAAAUAGGCCGGUGCCAGGG
Molecule: ribosomal RNA, 117 nt
Filed under: Chloroflexota bacterium
Lineage: Bacteria; Bacillati; Chloroflexota
Also listed under: 1 other name
Source: RNAcentral